CAUGUCUUUUUGUUUAUGAUUUAAGGUUUGACCUGCUCAAUGAGGAUUUAAAUUGCCGCGGUAUUUUGACCGUGCAAAGGUAGCAUAAUAAUUAGUUUUUUUAUUGAAAGCUGGAAUGAAUGGUUGGACGAGAAAAUUACUGUCUCCUUUUAAUUUUAAAUUGAAUUUAACUUUUGAGUGAAAAGGCUCAAAUAAUUUUUAAAGACGAGAAGACCCUAUAGAGUUUUAUAUAAUUUAUUUUUUGGCUUUUGAUUGGUUAUUUUAAUAUUAAAAUUUAUUUUAUAUUUGGUUGGGGUGACUUGAAGAUUUUUUUAACUCUUCAAUUUAAUAAUCAAUGAUUUUUGAUAGGUAAAUCUAAUUUUUUUAAAUUUAAUACAAAUUACCUUAGGGAUAACAGCGUAAUUUCUUUUUAGAGUUCUUAUUGAAAUUGAAGUUUGCGACCUCGAUGUUGGAUUAAAAUUUAUUUUUGGUGUAGAAGCUAAAUCAUUAAGUCUGUUCGACUUUUAAAAUUUUACAUGAUCUGAGU
Molecule: ribosomal RNA, 526 nt
Filed under: Physorhinini sp. UPOL RK0310
Lineage: Eukaryota; Metazoa; Arthropoda; Insecta; Coleoptera; Elateridae
Description: partial 16S ribosomal RNA
Rfam family: Archaeal large subunit ribosomal RNA
Source: RNAcentral